AAAGUGAGAAGACAUGUUUAAAACCAUCAUCAUUACUACUGACUUCAGGAAACUAAAAUCCUACGUUUGUGAGGUCAGAGACUCGGAAGGUUCUUAUUCGCUAGCAUCUUUUUUUUUUCAAAUUGCAACAUUUCUUUUUGGUUCAACUAAAGUAUGAUUAAAAUUAUUUCAAUUAAAUGAGGUCGGAGAUGAAUUUAAAACCUAUGCUUAUGAAUUAUGAACUAUUGUAGAUGAUGGUAUACUGGCCCAAAAUGUGAUUUAAGAUGCUACUGUUUUGAAUGCUAGCUCCCUGACGAUAAGAGAGAGAGAGACGUAUGUGGUCGACUCCUAUGAAGAUCAACGCUUGUUAGCAAAGGAUGUGUAUUGAACGAGUUCAUUGAUGUUAUGACACUUGUUGUUUACAGAUUGAUGUUAACACACAGAGGCGACUACCUUGCAACCAAAACGUGUCUAAAACUCAUUCAAUAUACCAAACAUAUGGUUUUUCCUUGCAUCUUAUUCCAACUUAAUACUACUAUCCAGUUUUAAAUCUAGUGUAUCAAAAGAUUCAAAACACCUUCCAAAAAUCGAAGGUAAAAAGAGCUGUCGAGAUUUUUUAAAGUUCUAUUUGACGACUUUUAGAUUGGUUUACAGGUUCGCUUAUUUUAUAGGGGCGCAUAGAUUAUGACGGUCAUCUAUCUC
This 681-nucleotide long non-coding RNA is filed under the name Brassica napus (rape). RNAcentral's name for it is "long non-coding RNA (BNAP_LNC011931)". The record is from RNAcentral. Lineage: Eukaryota; Viridiplantae; Streptophyta; Magnoliopsida; Brassicales; Brassicaceae.